AACGCACAUUGCGCCCAUUGGCAUUCCGAUGGGCAUGCCUGUUCGAGCGUCAUUAUCCUCCCUCAAACCUCGGGUUUGGUGUUGGACCGGGUUGGUCGAUCGAUCAACUGGUCUCAAAGACAAUGACGGCGUCCGUGGGACCCUCUACGCAACGAGCUUCUCGGAGCACGCGUCGAGUUUCAAGGACCCUCCGGGCCGGUCACCCGUCGCCCCCCCCAGGGACGACACCUUCCAGGUUGACCUCGGAUCAGGUAGGAAUACCCGCUGAACUUAA
RNAcentral lists this unclassified non-coding RNA (274 nucleotides) under uncultured fungus. RNAcentral's name for it is "partial contains 5.8S ribosomal RNA, internal transcribed spacer 2, and large subunit ribosomal RNA". The record is from RNAcentral. Lineage: Eukaryota; Fungi.